Molecule: long non-coding RNA, 2410 nt
Filed under: Sus scrofa (pig)
Lineage: Eukaryota; Metazoa; Chordata; Mammalia; Artiodactyla; Suidae
Description: lncRNA (ENSSSCG00030056526.1)
Source: RNAcentral
AAAAUAUUAACCAGAAAGACAAAACCCUAAAAUAGAUGCUGAAUAAGACCUGGAGAGCUUUAAAUGCAGAGAAGACGUGAGACUGAAUCCAGGAGAAAGAACUUCAAACUUCAGUUUCCAUGAGAAAAGCAGUGACAAUAAUGGGCUGCAAUGUGGUUUCUGUCACCUGUUUGCUCACAAGUCUGGACCGAUUUCUUCAGCAGAGAUAGGUUUACUUGGGAUCAGCAGAGGAUUGCAAUUCUGGAGACUGCAACUGUGGCCAGCCAUGGGCAAGUUCCCCACAUGGCAAGGAUCCUAAUUGUUCAUCAUGAGGAGAACAUGGUGCCAAAAUGACAGAAUGAGGCAGAUGAAGGCUGCUGUGGUUAUUUUGUGUCCAUGAGAGAAAGGCAUAGAUCAUUGUGGAGAUGCCACCCAGAGCCCUGACAUCUCCUGAGCUUCUGAAGAUGAAUCCUUUCAGGGUUUCCAGGAAACUUAGGUGAGUGAAUGCAUCUCUGUGUCUAUCUAAACUGCUAAUUGUUGGAUCUUUUGCUACAGCCAAAAGUAUCAUAAUGGCUAUAGCAGGUGAAGGGCAGCAGAGACAACCCCAGGGGAAUGAAGGAAUAUCCUGGCAAGAACAAAGCCAUCUAUAAAGUCAAAACAGAAGAAGCUGGGAUUGAAGGUAAAUUAAUAUAAAAAUGAAUCCUGCAAAAAAUUAAAGGUCAGAGCCAACAAUGGUUUGGCUAAGCAAAUCAAGGGAACUAUGGAAAUCUUUGCAUUCAAAUUUCUGUGGUCAACAUUAUGCUGGGUGGUGUCAGUGGUUCUUGAAGGCCCAGUUGAGUAUCUAAUCAUUUCAAAGCCAUGAUGUUUAAAUCUAGCAUAUAACCUUCUGAUGGACUCCUAUAUCUGUUUAGGUCAACAAAUAAUUAGAAUCCUUUAAUGGUAUAGUCUGAGAUAUUAGACAAAUCAGCACCCACUUGAAUAAUUCCUGGGUCUAUAACUCAGAAUGUUAAUGUUGAAUGCUCUAUGAAACAAUUUUUCAUGUCAUACAUUAUAGAUAUUUAGAACUAUGAGUUUCCUUAUAGAUUACUUAACUCAACUGUGAAAGCACAAAACACACUAGUUCUGGAGAUAACAGGAAGAGAGUUCAAACUUUUUUGUUUGGAGCAAAGAUCCUGGAAGUAGUGGAAAACAGGACCAAAGUUUUAACAAAGCUGGAAUGAAGGAAAACCUGGAUAGGAGGAAGUGAUUUCAAUAUCUGCCAGUGUUUUUCUGGGCUGCAAGGGGCGCUGGGAGGCUGACUCUCUCUUUCUCUCGCUCUCUCUCUUUUUUUUUUUGGUCUUUUACGGCUGCACCUGCGGCCAGCUUAUGGAGGUUCCCAGGCGAGGGGUCGAAUCUGCGCUACAGCUGUUGACCUGCACCACAGUCACAACAACGCAAGAUCCUAGCCUCAUCUGCAACCUACAUCACAGCUCAGGGCAAUGCUGGAUCCUUAACCCACUGAGUGAGGCCAUGGAUCCAAACUGCUUCCUCAUGGAUACUAGUGUCAGAUUCCUUUCCGCUGAUCCACGAUGGGAACUCCGAGGAUGACUCUCUUAAAGAAUGAAGAAUAGCCUAGACACAAAGCUAAGAGGAGGUGUAGAAGAAAUCAAAAUCAGAUUUGUCAAAUUCAUGCCCACUUCCUUUUCCAUUUUACAUCCAUUGUUGAGUUAAAGCUGUAGCAAGGAUAAUAGUGGUGAUAAAUAGGUGAGUUUGAAAAUCAGAACCAGUCCUGGAAAGACCCCAAGGCUACCCAUAUCAACCUGCUGAUGUGCUCAAAAUUCCAUCUGCUUGAUAAAGUAAAUCUUCUUGAUGCUAAAAGUCAUGGGUUUCUACUCAUGUUCAAGAUAUUCGGCAUUCCUGGCAAGAGAGUGCUGAGAGGGAUUACUCUAAACAGACAAAUGGACCUUGUUUCUUGUAGGAAUGCUGUUUCUUCUUAAGUCACUGACUAUCUUCUAGAGUGCUUUUCAUUCCCCUUCCUAAUUUUCUGGUAGUGAAGUGAUAGCAAGAACAGCUAAAUAGAGGGGAACUUUUUUUUACCUGUGACACUGAAAUCUCCCCUUUUUGUCCUCUGCAUCUCCCUUGGGUAUGUUAACACUUUAAUAUAAAAUAGGUAAACUGAUAGUAGUUUGAUUUUUUUUCUAUUUAUGUAUUUAGAGGAAAUAUGUCAAUUUAUUUAAAAUAUGUCAAAAAUGCACCAAUGCCCACUUCUCAUUCCUUCUAUUUCCAUAAAUCCAGCCCUCUACACCAAUGUGAGGGACUUUAAAGGCAAUGGCUAAUAAAUACCCGGUUUUACUCUGAUAGAUGGAAGAAGGAAGAAACACAUGUACUUACUGAGCUAUGGAACAGCCUGGGACUGCCUCAGUUGCCUUCAUUCAUCAUAUUGGAUAAUACA